This 403-nucleotide ribosomal RNA is filed under the name uncultured bacterium. RNAcentral describes it as "partial 16S ribosomal RNA". It matches the Rfam family "Bacterial small subunit ribosomal RNA", at positions 30 to 526 of the family's 1533-position model. The record is from RNAcentral.
AUUGAACGCUGGCGGCAUGCCUAACACAUGCAAGUCGAGCGCGCGGCUGAAGGGUGAGGACUGUAUGGGGACUGCCCGUGAGAGGGCGGUAACUACUGGAAACGGUAGCUAAUACCGCAUACUAUCGGAUGGCCCAAAUGGGAUUUGCUGGUAGGUGAGGUAAUGGCUCACCUAGGCGACGAUCCCUAGCUGGUCUGAGAGGAUGAUCCGCCACACUGGGACUGAGACACGGCCCAGACUCCUACGGAGGCAGCAGUGGGGAAUAUUGCACAAUGGGCGCAAGCCUGAUGCAGCCAUGCCGCGUGUAUGAAGAAGGCCUUCGGGUUGUAAAGUACUUUCAGUCGGGAGGCGUUACCGACAGAAGAAGCACCGGCUAACUCCGUGCCAGCAGCCGCGGUAAUAC